Molecule: long non-coding RNA, 6326 nt
Organism: Canis lupus familiaris (dog)
Lineage: Eukaryota; Metazoa; Chordata; Mammalia; Carnivora; Canidae
Exons: 4
Source: RefSeq, a predicted model, not a curated record
ACAUACACACACAGAGACACAGACAAAGGGAGAAGCAGGCUCCAUGCAGGGAGCUCGAUGUGGGACUCGAUCCCGGGUCUCCAGGAUCACGCUCUGGGAUCAUGAUCCCACCCAGGGAUCCCCAAGCGCAGUUCUUUGAAGCCAUUUUAGUUCUCCAGAUUAAAGAGAGAUGAGGAGUGGAACAGAGAGGAAUUAAUAUUAAUGAGAGAACGCUUUAAAUUUGUGUACUAUCCUACAACUUGGAACAUAGUCACACAAUUAUGACCACAUCUGAAUUUCUUAUUAUCUGAGCGAGGUAGCAGGUUAAGAAUUAGUUUCCCCAUUUUCCUGACACAACUGAAGUUCAAGGAAAUGAGUUUAUUGUCAAUAAAACAGAGUGUAAAUGAGCAGCAGGGCCAGGACGUGGGUCCCCUGCCUCCUCGGGGCAGCCCACUUUCCACGGCACCCCACUGCUUCACACUUCAAGUUACUAAAACAAGAAGUGAAACCACUGUAGUUCUCUUUGUACUUGACAAUGGUCAAGGGUUUUUCACUGAAACCGUGAAUUGUUAGGCAAAUACAUAUGCAUAUAUAUAUAUAUAUAUAUAUAGAGAGAGAGAGAGAGAGAGAGAGAGAGAGAAAAUAUACUGAACUAUAUAUAUUAUAUAUUGUAUAUAAUAUACUGAAUUAUAUAUGUGUGUAUAUGUAUAUAUAUAUAUAUAAUUAAUUAUACCACUUUUCUUUCCAUAAAGGGUGUGAGGGAGGCAAACAAAGUAUGCAUGGAUAAUAAGGGUCAUCCAUAAGAACCAGAAAAGCUGGAUAAAAAUUGGAAAAGAGGAAAAGAAGACACUACAAGUAAGCUUUGGCAUAGUGCUUCCCCAUUCAGACUCCAGAGAGCAUCUCCAGCCCCUUGGCCCCCCUGCCCCAGUGUUUUGGAUGUUGUGGCUUCUGGAGAAAGCCACAAGCCCAGGCUUACCGUUGGCCAUGCCUGCUUUGGGCUUCAUUUUUAUGUGAGCCUCCCUAACUCAAAUAUAAAAUGAGGGUAGCACAUUACUCUGUGAACUGCUGUCAGGAGUAAGCAUGACUGCACGUAUAUGCAACACUAUUUUUAUGGAGGAGUAAUCCUCUGGGACUUUUUUUUUUUUCCUCUGGGACUUUAUAAAGGGUGAACAGAAAGAAAUAUUGAGUGGUCUUCUCAAAAACAGCAUUAUAGCAAUUGCUAUUUUCCAACCCGUGGACCACAGGAGGACUGUAAUUGUAAUUAUGCAGUUUCUUUCUGACUCGGCUCCCACCCAUGGGAUUGUCAGAACCCUAGCCUCUUUCUGGACUUUGUUUCCUUGGUAGAAAUCACCAGCAGGUUCCUGGAGGGUCUUUUAUGAACACAGUCUUCCACAAGAAUAACUAAGCUCUGUGAGGGCAGGGAGCAUGUUCACUUAUCCUUUGCUGUCCUAGCCCUGAGCUCGAUGGCCUGCACAUAGCAGAUCAAACAACACCUAUUUAAAGAAUUAGUGAGUGAACGAAGAACCAUCUCUACAGGGAUGUUGUCCUCUGUGCCUCAAGGACGCCGGUUCCAGAGCACAGCUCUUUGCUGCCCUUGCAUGUCUGGGGCUCUAGCUUUCCACAGCUGUUUCUUGUCUCUGUUGUUGUCUGCAUGGAUGUUCUUAACUACUUCCACCACUUGGUUCCUUCACUCCAAGUAUUUCAAAAGUUACUUUGCAGAGGAAGGGAAGAGGACUUAUAACAGUUAUCCUCAGUCACUAUAUUUAGGUCCUACUCUACGGCUUUAUGUCUGAUAUCAAGUUUAAAUUCCCAUACCAUGACCCUGAGUUGGAUACUGGUAAUAUCAUCAUUAUUACCCAUUGGGAAACAAAGACUCUGAGACUCUAAGUAACAUAUCCAAAGCCACACAGCUAGUAAAUGCUCAGCUAUGAUUUAAACCCAGUCUUUCUUAUAUCUCAAGUCAACUAGGCUAGAUGGUUUCUCUAAUGCCUUCCUUUUAUAUCCUAUAGAGAUUUUACUACCACUGUUCUUUAUUUUUAUUUCCUCCUUGCUAUGGCUAGAGCUCAGCACCAGAACCCAAAUACGAAGGUGAAACCAAAGGAGGGGUGUUGGGCUGAAGGCUGAGCUGUAUAAGAGACAUCAAGCACCCCAUGAAAUCAACUAUUCCCUCUGAGGAUGAAGGACUAAGCCCUUCCCUCUUCAACUUUCUUUUCCAACAGAGUACAUUCUUUCCCAUGAUGUUCCCAGGACUUUAAUGCAGUUAGGCCCAUCCAAAUGGCCUUCCAGUUGGGCCCAGUUGAUUCUGUGUUCAUGGUAAUUACCUACCACCCUGCACUCAGUGGAUCCUUUCUGUCACAUGGCUUUAAAUACGUUAUUCCUUUCCAUCUCUUCAUUAAAUGGCAUUGGAAGGCAACUUGAUAUGGAGCUGAUAGAGUCUGAGUUCAUCAACCUUAGCAAUGUAACUUAACACAGCAUUUAAAAUGGAUGAUCUGGGGGAGGAGCUAUACAGCACGAAUCUUGCACUGGGUUUUGUGCUGGUAUCAUUACUCUCUCUUCUUUUAGCUUGGAUAAAUGAGAGGACCCCAAUAGCUCAGAGUCCAAGAGUGUGAAUUUCAACCUACCAUCUGGAACGGUAAUAAUCUGUUUAGCUAAUGGAAGAAGCAUCCUGAUGCGCUGAAAUCAGAAAUGGCUGUAAAACCUGACUUUUAUUUUCUUCCCAUAUAAUAGUCUAGCCAUUGUUAUUAAAUAUAGGGGGUAUAAAGGGCACCUGGGUGGCUCAGUUGGUUAAGCAUCUGACUCUUGAUUUUGGCUCAGGUAAUGAUCUCAAGGCUAUGAGCUCUUGCUCUGCAUUAGGCUGGGCAUGGAGCCUGCUUGAGAUUCUCUCUCUCCCCUUCUCCUUUUGCCUCUCCCCUCAGCUCUCUAAUAAACGAACAAACGAACAAAUAAAUAAAUAAAGUGCGGAUUAAGAAAAUCCUAUGUGGUCUUAUUUAUUAUAGGGGUGCUAGUCUAGCAGAUGUGUACAAUGGACUUGGGUUUGGAUCCUGGUUGCCACACCUUCACAAUAUAAUUUUGAACAAGUUUCUUAGGCUAGCUCUAGUUUGUUUUCUUGAGUAGUGAGUGUACGUCUCUCCUACUCUACAGGGCUACCAAGAAGGUACAAUAGAGAGUGAAAGGGAGACACAGCACAACUCUAAAUUUAGGUCUUGUAGGACCUACCUUAAGAACAGGAAAAAUCCCAAGCUUGAUACGAAGUUGACAUAGAAGCCUGGAAUCCUGAGGUCUCUAAGGCAGGAGGCCUUAUACGCAUAGUAAAACUCAAGCCUGUGACUCUUGGGGUGGGAGAAUGGUGUGUUUCAGGCUGGACCCCAGCUCUGAAACACACCACAUUACCAGACACUGCUGCUAGAAUUGAAGGCACAAAAGUCAUUGUUUGUGUUUUUGUUUUCCUUCCUUCCUCCUUUCUUUUUAGAGAGAUAGGGAGUGGGGGUGCCACAGAGAGAGACGGAGUCUGAACUCUCAAGCCGGCUCCACAAUCAGUGUGUCGCCCCAUGUGGGGCUCGAUCUCAUAACCCUGAGAUCAUGACCUGAGUUGAAAUCAAGAGUCAGAAGCUUAACCGACUGAGCCACUCAGGUGCCCCCAUACUCUUUUAAUGGAGCAGAAUCCUAGUGCGGCGGACAGUGAACCACCUGGGAGGGUGCAAAGUGAGAUCUGGUCUAGGCUCUCCACGUACUUGUAUAAUUGUGGGAAAGUCACUCAAGUGCCUUGAGGCUCAGACUUCAAUACAUAAAAUAGGGGUGAAUUGUACUUUCUUGGCAGACCUCAUUUAGCUAUAAUGAUAAUACUGACAAUACUAACAACGACUGCCUUUAAUUGACCAAUCGUUUGUGUAAACACUUUCUUCUUCUUUUUUUUUUUUUGUAUGUACUAAUUCAUUUACUGUGUCACAUCAAUGAAUUAGGAAGAUACUAAUUAUUUCCAAUUUACAGAUGAGGAGACUAACACUUGGAGACAUUCCAUAAUGUGUCCAGGGCCACCUGCUAAUAAAUGCGACCUUUGAGUUUAGGAUGUAAGCUCACUUCCACUUCACAGCAGGACUAUAUAGCACUGUUCUUUACCCAGAAAACUAUCCUCUCAAAAAAAUGCAUGAAACCUCCCAUCUCACCAUUGUACUUUUGAUUGAUAUUAACCAAAGGGAAGGAUUACUGUUGUUGUCACUUAUUGAUAUUAGUGUCACAACCAUAUGAGCCUGGGAAAAAGUUCAUCAGGGAUACACAUGAUUAAAGAUGUUUAACGAUGCACCAAGUGAGGACCACUAGAUGAUGGUCUUCCCGUAAACAACAUGCUUAAGUAGCUGUAUCAUUUUUUAGUCAGACUUCCUGAUAAGAAUCACUGACUGGUGACUUUACAGAGGUUAUGGGGGAAGUUCCAAAAUCUAAGGACUUUCCAGAUGGUUGGAAUAAAAUCACACACUCUGGGUUCUGUUACUGAGAGCACCAAGCUUUUCAAUUCAAAGUGAAACCGGUGGAAUAAAGAGUUGAUCAAAGAGAACUAAAUACACUGAGCACCAUGUGUGCUCAUCCGAUUGCUGCUGUUCCCCUGUGACUUAGGUACUACUUUCCUCAGUUUAGCAAUGAGGAAAUGGAUGCCCAGAGAGGAUGAGUCACACUUUUUAUAUGUAUUAAUAAUAACUAUCAUUUGCUUUUUUUUGGUUUUCUUUUCGGUACAUGCUGAGGACUAUUCUAAUAUGUAUAUCAAUUCGUUUCAUUGUUAAAAUGAUCCUUUGGGCAAGUACUUGGUACUGAAGCUACCAAGCUUUGCCAUUUCUCAGAUAAAGGAACUGAGGGGCAGAUGUGAAUUGUUCAGUUGGAAGAGGGAGGAAUAGGGAGUGAACCCAAGUUGGCCUGAUUCCCGGGACUACGUUCCUCCCGCAUGUAACAACUGCCAUGGCUUCCUGGCUACUUUACCAGGGCUGGUCAGAGGAGUGACCGGAGAAUAAAGUCGACAAGGUCUGAGAACUGAGAACCACAAAGAGGAAGGAACACCUUUGUCAGGUACUAGAACAUUGGCUGCUGAGAUCAGGGAGUUGGAGACUGUUGUCUAUCAGUCCACGUUUACAUGAAGAAUUAUCACCAUGCCUGUGUCAGAGGAUGCAGGCCCCAUACUGACGCGGUGCAGUGUACAUCCGGAGCGCACACAGCCCCCCUGUGCACAGCCUGUAGAGCCAGGGAGCCAGGGCUGCCCCGAGCCUGGAAGAGAUCACCAGCCAGAAACUAGAAGGACUUGAUCCAGGCGCCAGAAAAUUUUCUCUGUAAAGGGCCAAACACAAAGGAGAAACCUCCCAGCUAUUAAUCAAACUCCUGGCUGUGGAUAGCUUUAAUUGCAGAAACCACUGCUGGAUGAGGGAUGCUCAACUUUUCCAAAGAAAGCCCUCUGCCUAGUGCAGAAGAGAAACAAUUAAUUACCUGCUCCUCCUGUCCCCAACAGAGAUGCAGAUGAACUAACAAUAUUGCUGCUGGCAUCAGGUCCUCCCUUCCCCAGGUGGAGGCAAGCUAAUGCAAACUCAGACAACACUCAUGAAAGUGUAAUGCCCAAGUAGAGGUUUAGCUAGAAGGCUCUGGUGGGACCAAAGUUUUGCCUCUCCCUGGCGUCUGUACUUGAAGACGGAUACAGACAAGCUCUGGGUCUUCUUGAAGAGAGUGAUUGGGGACGUCGGCAUGCUUGAAAAUCAUAUCCUCCGAGGAAGGAUCUAGUGUGUCGGGGAUAUUGAAUUCGGAGAAGAAAAAAUUAAGGUGGAGGGUAAGGGGGGGGUGCAACUUAAAAAAAUAAUAGCCGGGCAAAGAGAGAUCAGACUAAAUUUGUAUAGUCCAGUAGACAGACUGGAAUUGUGGGUGGCAUUUACGGUUUCACGUAAGAAGAAGCCCGUGUGCUUCUGGAAAGAUCUGUCCCCCAAAGGUACUCAGGCUCUCCUCUCUCUAGGUGUGUAAGAACCAUUAAGGGCGCGCUAAGACAAUCCUUGUCUAGUUUAGGAGGUGUAGGCGGUAACCAUCCUGGCUAGGUGACCACCCCGCCCUUGGGUCUUGCUUUACUAGUGCUUUUGUGUUUCACCUCCAAGUUUUCAGUGUUACAGACAACACAGAAGGAAGGGGGUGGGGGUGGAGGGAGAGCUGCACCCAAGGUCCUAGUCAGUUCGAAGCAAAGGCUUGCGCUCGAGAACUGGGGGCUAAUGUUGGAAUUUCCUUUUUAUUAUUUUUAUUAUUUUUAAUAAUAAAUUUAUUUUUUAUUGGUGUUCAAUUUGCCAACAUACAGAAUAACACCCAGUGCUCAUCCCGUCAAGUGCCCCCCUCAG